AGGAAUUUAGGUUAACNCUAGACCAAGAGCCUUCAAAGCCCUAAGCAAGUAGCUUNUACUUAAUUCCUG
This 69-nucleotide transfer RNA is filed under the name Callosciurus adamsi (ear-spot squirrel). RNAcentral's name for it is "tRNA-Trp". The record is from RNAcentral. Lineage: Eukaryota; Metazoa; Chordata; Mammalia; Rodentia; Sciuridae.